Molecule: transfer RNA, 58 nt
Filed under: Tenebrionoidea sp. 5 KM-2017
Lineage: Eukaryota; Metazoa; Arthropoda; Insecta; Coleoptera
Description: tRNA-Ser
Source: RNAcentral
GAAAUAUCCGAAAAGUAAGCUUCUAACUUAACUUUAAAGCAUAAAUGUUUGUAUUUCU